AGGAAAAGAAACCAACAGGGAUUGCCCUAGUAACGGCGAGUGAAGCGGCAACAGCUCAAAUUUGAAAUCUGGCUCUCGGGCCCGAGUUGUAAUUUGUAGAGGAUACUUUUGAUGCGGUGCCUUCCGAGUUCCCUGGAACGGGACGCCAUAGAGGGUGAGAGCCCCGUCUGGUUGGAUGCCAAAUCUCUGUAAAGUUCCUUCAACGAGUCGAGUAGUUUGGGAAUGCUGCUCUAAAUGGGAGGUAUAUGUCUUCUAAAGCUAAAUACCGGCCAGAGACCGAUAGCGCACAAGUAGAGUGAUCGAAAGAUGAAAAGCACUUUGAAAAGAGAGUUAAAAAGUACGUGAAAUUGUUGAAAGGGAAGCGUUUAUGACCAGACUUGGGCUUGGUUAAUCAUCUGGGGUUCUCCCCAGUGCACUUUUCCAGCUCAGGCCAGCAUCAGUUUUCCCCGGGGGAUAAAGGCGGAGGGAAUGUGGCUCUCUUCGGGGAGUGUUAUAGCCCACCGUGUAAUACCCUGGGGGGGACUGAGGUUCGCGCAUCUGCAAGGAUGCUG
RNAcentral lists this ribosomal RNA (551 nucleotides) under uncultured fungus. RNAcentral's name for it is "eukaryotic LSU rRNA". It matches the Rfam family "Eukaryotic large subunit ribosomal RNA", at positions 54 to 628 of the family's 3401-position model. The record is from RNAcentral. Lineage: Eukaryota; Fungi.